This 276-nucleotide ribosomal RNA is filed under the name uncultured bacterium. RNAcentral describes it as "partial 16S ribosomal RNA". It matches the Rfam family "Bacterial small subunit ribosomal RNA", at positions 79 to 354 of the family's 1533-position model. The record is from RNAcentral.
CUUUCUCCGCCGGCGACCGGCGCACGGGUGAGUAACACGUAUGCAACCUGCCCCUGUCAGGGGGACAACCCGCCGAAAGGCGGGCUAAACCCGCGUACAUGCCACCGGGGCAUCCCGGAGGCAGGAAAGGCUUCGGCCGGACACGGAUGGGCAUGCGGCGCAUUAGCUAGUCGGCGGGGUAACGGCCCACCGAGGCGACGAUGCGUAGGGGUUCUGAGAGGAAGGCCCCCCACACUGGUACUGAGACACGGACCAGACUCCUACGGGAGGCAGCAG